UUUCUUCUUCCUGUCCAGCCCCCUCCGAACAGUUCGCCGAUUGGCUGCGACUUUCGGGCCAGCCCCGCCCCACUGGCGCUGGUACCGGCGCAGAGUGCACCGCCUCGGUCUUUCUGUCCCCGGCUUGGAGGCCGAGCCUCCGGAGCCGGGUCCCCAAUGCCCAGUCGUGCUGCUGUCUCGGACCCAAGCGCAGGUUGAAAGCUACAAGAAACGAGUGCGCUAAUGCCUUGAAGUGGGUUCCCAGGGGGUAAAUCCUCCAAGGUGAAGUAGACUGACCCAUGUCUCUUUAGGAUUAGGGGUGUUGUAGCAGAUUCAUUGCCACCCACUUUGUUACUGAGAUAGGUGCUAUAGUUCCCAUUUGACAGUAAGAGCCAUGUGAGAGUAUCCCUGAAUAGCCUUGUAAUAAUUGAUUGUGCUGGAGGAGGUUUCUCCAUGCCUGGCUGCCCUGGAACUCAGAUUAGCCUGACUCUGAGUGCUGGAACUAAAGGCCUACGCCAUCAUGCCUGGCUAUAACAUGCUAGGUCAUUUGAAUGUGUUGGUAUGGAAGAUGAUGUUUGUAGUCCCCUGAAUGCUAGGACAAGUUCUUUGUUCCUGCUUAGUCAUGUGCCAGCAGACAAGAUGUAUUAAUCUGUAUAUUGUUGCCUGUCAUUAAUUUUCCAGAAUCUUUAAUAAAGGCUUUUCCUGUG
Long non-coding RNA from Phodopus roborovskii (desert hamster), 686 nucleotides. RefSeq lists it as uncharacterized. The transcript has 3 exons. Lineage: Eukaryota; Metazoa; Chordata; Mammalia; Rodentia; Cricetidae. The record is from RefSeq and is a predicted model, not a curated record.